GCGGGCGUGGCGAAACUGGUAGACGCAAGGGAUUUAAAAUCCCUCGGCCUUGGCUGUACGGGUUCGACCCCCGUCGCCCGCACCA
This 85-nucleotide transfer RNA is filed under the name Rhizobium ruizarguesonis. RNAcentral's name for it is "tRNA-Leu". It matches the Rfam family "tRNA". Rfam says of the family: Transfer RNA (tRNA) molecules are approximately 80 nucleotides in length. Their secondary structure includes four short double-helical elements and three loops (D, anti-codon, and T loops). Further hydrogen bonds mediate the characteristic L-shaped molecular structure. tRNAs have two regions of fundamental functional importance: the anti-codon, which is responsible for specific mRNA codon recognition, and the 3' end, to which the tRNAs corresponding amino acid is attached (by aminoacyl-tRNA synthetases). tRNAs cope with the degeneracy of the genetic code in two manners: having more than one tRNA (with a specific anti-codon) for a particular amino acid; and 'wobble' base-pairing, i.e. permitting non-standard base-pairing at the 3rd anti-codon position. The record is from RNAcentral. Lineage: Bacteria; Pseudomonadati; Pseudomonadota; Alphaproteobacteria; Hyphomicrobiales; Rhizobiaceae.